UUUUAUUAUAAUUAUGGUCCCACUCUUUCCAUGUGUUCUCCCUCCUCCUCCUCCUAUUCUGCUUCUUCUUUCCAACCACAUUUAACAUCUGGUGAUCAAUGCCUUCUCUUUGAAUCUAAUGGUGCUGGGAAAACGAUAAUACUGAACACUGCUUUGACGUCGUCUAAGGAUCUCUAUUAUCUUGGAAGAUAGUGGAUGCAAGAUGUUGCUUUUGCUGUGUUUUUCCAUACAAAUAUAUGUUUCUGCAUAGAAAAUGAUAUUUGGUGUAGCAG
This 272-nucleotide unclassified non-coding RNA is filed under the name Hevea brasiliensis (rubber tree). The record is from RNAcentral. Lineage: Eukaryota; Viridiplantae; Streptophyta; Magnoliopsida; Malpighiales; Euphorbiaceae.